Molecule: signal recognition particle RNA, 266 nt
Filed under: Gemmatimonadota bacterium
Lineage: Bacteria; Pseudomonadati; Gemmatimonadota
Description: Gemmatimonadetes bacterium signal recognition particle sRNA large type
Rfam family: Bacterial large signal recognition particle RNA
About the family: The signal recognition particle (SRP) is a universally conserved ribonucleoprotein involved in the co-translational targeting of proteins to membranes. Archaeal SRP consists of a 7S RNA and homologues of the eukaryotic SRP19 and SRP54 proteins.
Source: RNAcentral
UCGUGCUAGAUGGGGAGAUAGCGGUGCCCUGUACCCGCAAUCCGCUAUAGCGGGAUUGAAUUCCCAUCCAUAGGGCUUAACACUCUUAUUCGACCAGCGAUAAGUAGCGUUGAUGAUCGGAUUCUGCGCAACGCAGAGUUUCCGAACCCCGUCAGGACCGGAAGGUAGCAGCGGUAGGAAUUUCUCGGUGUGUGCCGCAGAGUGGUCCGAUUGGAGCUAACUGACGCAGGGAAAAUAGGAGGUUGAGGUCGAAGAUGGGUGCACGG